CACUCGGGGCACCGCAGGCUCUCCGGGAUCCUUCCCCCCGCGCUCUGGAACUCGAAUCGGCAGCACGGGUGCGCCACGUCGCGGAUCUUCUCGUAGUGCUCCUUGAAUGCCACGUCGUACCCCUUGGUCGGCACGUGCUCCUUCCACAGGUCGUACUCCAGCAGCGCCGGCAGGACCGUGUUCCGGUGCCCGUUCACCACGAUGCUUGACCCCUUGCUCAGUAUCGCCCACCCCCCGGCCUUGUCAAAGCUGAGCAACCUCUUGAGCUGCUGAAUCAAGAGGCCAUGCUCGUCCACCUUCCCCAGCUGGAUCUUCGAGAAGAACAUCGACUCGAGCCGGGUCCAAAAGUACCAUACCAAGGUCAGGUCCUGCCAGGUGGAGCUCAGCUUCUCAUCGUUGAUGGUAUCUAUCGCGCGCUGCACCUGCUCUCGCUUGCUGCUCUUGCCCACAUAGACCAUCUCCAGGGGAAUCCUUGCGGCCAUCGCAACCUGGCGUGCCGCCGUGGUGAACUUACGGAUCCACUCUAUGUCAUCACCACCGUAAAGGAAUAUGUACUUGCCUUCUCUAAUCUGACGAGGACAAAAUUGAAGAUCUCCGUGUCACAAACCUUUUAGUUAAAUAUGAUAAAAAUGCUAACUUGACAUGACCGAGAGUUACCCAAUUCAGAAUUGUUGGAUCCAUGCCAUCGACAAGAAGCUCAAGCGUCCAUUCCUCUUCUUUCCACAGAGCCUCCUCUCUCAGUGUAGUGAAGGGGAAGGCAUUGCUUCCCCAAAUCCACAUCAUGUGAAUGGCAUUGGGGGACACAACCUUGCCUUGUGGGUCAAGCACCACCAGGAUGGGCUUGUUCCUGAAGUGCCACUGCUCCCUGAUGAACCGGAUCGCCACCUUGUGGAUCAGGUUUGGGUGGUACACGGUGUACCACGGCAUUCUGGACUGCAGGGCCUCGAACUGCUUCUGCACCGGGUCAGUCCACUUGACCGAGCGGUCCACAAUAGGGAUCCACACCACCUCAUACUGGUUGAUCUGACGCUGCGUCGUGUGCAACUUGGACUCGCCGUGGAUCUGCUCCAGGAUGGAUAGCUCGUCCUGCGAGAUGUCCAGCCCCGAGAUCAGCAGCAACACAUUCCUCCUUCUCAGGACUUCGAGGUUGACCUGUAUGUCGCAAGAUAGAAAAGAAACUCGUGGUCAAAUCAUUUUCGAUUAGAAGGGUUCAUGGUCGUUGCAUAAUGGUGAGACUGGCUAUACCCUUUUCUUUGAGGUGCCCUCAACAAGAGGCAGAAUAUCAUCCUUGGGAUAAAUCAGAGCCUUCAGGACCUUCAUAUUGUCAAUGUGGAUGGUUUCAAAGAGAUUCAGGAGAGUCUGAUAGGCUUCAAUAUCCCGCUUUUCCUCUGUGUCACCAUUAAAUCGGUUAAGUCUUCUCCGAAAAGGUUUCUUUCUCUUCAAUUACUACACAGGAAAUAAAAAAAGGUUCAUAUAGAUCAGUGGCUAAUUGAUUACCUAUGUAUUGUUUACAUAUGUCAAUUUGCUUCUGCAAAUGUUCAUAUAUGUUCUUCAGUUUGUGAUCCAUGGUUGACAGCUCCCAUGCCUCAGUUGUGGAGGAUAUGUACCUGCAAAUUCUCACUUCCAUGUUAUGAUUUCAUGUGGGAGGCAUCUACAUAAAUAUUCAUUCAGAGAUAAACUUUCAGUAAUAUGAUGAAGUCUGCUAUUAACCGAUCAGCAAUUAUAAUGCCUUAUAAUUGAGUGCGAGUAGAGAAAUCGAAACAGUUCGAGAGCGCAUACUCAAUGCCAUAGCUAGUGAGGCUGGUGAUCUGGCUAGCACAAGCCACAGCGCUCCUUAUGGUCCAAUAAACGGCAGUUGGGACGUGGGCCAUGGCGGCUGACAAUGCGGGGGCCUCGCUGGAGAUGUAAGCUGAGGGAAGGUCCUUGAGGUCCACCACGCACCUCGUGACUUUAAGCAUGGCCUGGAUGAGGCCAUUGAGCGCGUCGAACCGGGACUUGAGGGCGCCCGAGUGCUCCAUGAUCAUGGGCAGCUGCUUCAGGAUUGCCAUCGACUUGGCAAGCUGGUUGGUAGUGUAGAUCUGGGCCAAGAGCCAGAACUCGCCAUAGUUGAAGGCGAAGGCCGCCAGUGUCAGCACCAGCUUGGCGUCCCACGAGAAGGGGGCGAGCAUGUUGCAUAUGGAGAGCGUGGUCGCGUGCGCCUCGCCACCAGUCAGCGCUUUCGCGGAUAGCUGAGGAACGGUUGCCAGCUGGCAGAUGUCAGUAGAAAGACUUGUUUUUCUAACGAAGAAUUGAUUGCUCUUCAUUUAAUUUCAUGGCGAAAUUCGAAAUAGAUGAAGCGCACAAAAUGACAUCUUUCAUAAAUCACCUCGCAGGAAAUCCGCUCGAUGGUGUAGGACAGCACGUCGAGCACGGCGUUGAAGCUUGCCUGGUAACCCUUGUCCUCCAUGUUUUCAGCGUAUGGGGAUCCCUAUACACAGCAAGAGCCAUGCACGCAGGAUUUAGAAUGAGAAACGAGCGAUUAUAAUACUCAUAAGAAAUACAGAUAAUUGAGAUUGAUUAUUGUCGUGAUAUGGCUCGUUUUGUCAGAGAUCUGGCGAGUGAUACGAAACUGGGCAAGUCUCUCCUAGCUAAAUAAAGUAUAUCUGUAAAAUGUCAUCAAAGCAUUUGAUCCAGUACACCGCAAGAAGGAAGAUAAAAAAGAUCAUUCCUACUCCAUUACCAUGGUGGGGCCGGUGCUAGCAGUCAAGGUAGCGCGGUUGAGGAUGUCCUCGACGAGGAGGAGGAGUGGCUUCACAUCAACCUCGCGGCCAUCAGGGGCAUGAGUGUCCGUGACCUGCUUCAUCAUCGCAAUGUCGUCGGACAUCAUGAUCAUGCUCCGAUCCCCACCCUUAAUCAGCCUCUGCAUGGCGGGCGGCAUCAUCUUGCUGGCCGUCGUCAACGUGGCCAUGACGGGAUACUAUGAGCUCUAGGAAAAUUCUAACACUGCGGUUUUAGGAAAGACGGGAUGAAUAUCGUUAUCUGGGUUUUGCGUGAUUGGCAUGGCCCUAGGCCUGGUCUAUAUAAAUAAGAAUGAUGGACGGCGUAAAGCCUAGGGAUGAAUCGACUUCUUUGCUUCAAUUGUAGUUUAAUGUUUUGAACGUUAAACUGAAGCUUUGGCCACUCUUUCUUUACACUUUGCCCAGCUAAUAAGAUUCGUGGGACCAUUUAUGCAGCUUUUCUCUGGGUAAUGUCCAAAGCAGACAGAGAUUUUUGUGGAAUUUCUGAUUAAUUUAUUCGAAUAAUUAAUUAAUGAAGACAGAUGAGAUGUGAUUUGGGGAGAGUAAAACGUGUUGCUCAAAAGAACAGUACAAAUGUAGUAUGGUUUCUUUUUUUUUUCUUUUUUCUUUUUAGCAAAAGUAUGGUUUAGGGGUUACGUUUUAGCUUUUCGUGCCCAAAAGUAAUCAUCCUUAGCAUAUUGCUUACUUGAAGUAGAUGUGAUUCGGCAAAGCCCUUUCUUCUUCUUAUUUUAAUCUUUCUGUAGAGUAUUUACUGGGUUCAUUGAUAGGAUGAUUGAUAAUUGGGAAAAUUAUUUCAAAAAAAUCCUAAAUUUAUUAUACAAAUAUCCUUUCAUUUAUAAACUUUUUAAUUUGGCCUAUCGAAUCCUAAAUCUUUUGAUGUCAAUAUAAUCAUUCUAAUAAAUUUCAGUUGGCAACUAAAGUGGACAUAUUUUUUGCAUUUUUAAAAAAUUAUCUAAAUGUUUUACAAAAGUUUCUUUUCUUUUCUUUUCUUUAUUUUUUUCCAUUGACUCGUCGACCCUUACCAAACUUGGUAGAACAAAAAAGGACGUGAAAGAAGAGAAAAUAAAAUAAAAUAAAAUAAAAAAAAUAUUUUAAAAAAACUUCUAAAUUUUUAUAAAGUUUUUUCGUUGUUUUCUUUUUUCCACUAGCUUGUUGACCAUCACCGGACUUAAUAGAACAAAAACAGGACAAGAACGAAAAGAAUAUUAAUAAAAUAAAAAUUUUAAAUUUUCAGAAAAUCUUUUAUAGAAAUUGCAAAAAUUGUCAACAUUAGUACUUAUCGUGCCACAUGAGAUUGCCAAUAUCCACAUCAGUAAUUUUUUACACAUGGACUAUAUUGGCAAAUUGUCUAUAGGUUUAGGGCUAAAUUGAUAAAAUUGGCUUCCAAUCGAUAGAUUAAGGACUUUUUUGGUAAUUAUCCCUUCCGAUUACUAGUAACUGUUAGAUAAAAAAAGGGGGGGAUAAGUGCAAUAAAAAUUCUAAAACUUAUCACGAAAAUGCAAUUGAGUCUUAAAACUUCUCAAGUUGUUUUAAUCGAGUCAUAAAGUUAACACCGUCAACAUUUUAACGGAAAAUGCUGACGUGGUGUGGAUGUGGCAUUUUAAAUAAUUUUUCAUUUUCCACAUGGCUUUUAUUAAUUAUUUUUUAUUCAAUUUUUUAAAAUAGAUUUAAAACUAAAAAGAAAAGUUAAAAUUUAAAAAAAAAUUGUUAAAAAAGAAGAAGAUUAAAUUAGCAGCUCCUCCUCUGCUGCCGCUGCCCAUCGCCAGAGGGGCCAACAACUUAGGCGGGGGUAGCCGACCCUUGCCUAGCCCCAGGCAAGAGUCGGCGACCCUUGCUAAGCUUAGGCGAGGUUGCCUAGAUCUGGGCACACUGGCCCUCACUGGGGGCCGGCCACAAGGGUCGUCGCCCACCCUAGGUGAGUCAUCGCUGGCCUUGAGUGAGGGUCGAUGAAGCCUCGCCCAAGGCGGUUGACAACUUGCCCAGGGCGGGCGCGGUUUGCCAACCCCCCACGAGGGCCAAUGGGCUUAAAUCUAGGCUCCCUCUCCCAAGCUUGGUGAGGGCCGGCGACCCUCGCCCAGGGCCGAUGACCAUCGCUAGCCCCUCUGGCAGUGGGCAACGGCGAAGGAAGCCGGCCAUUUUUUUUAAUUGUUUUGUUUUUAAAAUAAAUUAGCUUUUCUUUUCUAAUUUUUAAAUAUAAUUUAAAUAAAAAAAUCAAUUUAAAAAAGCCACGUGGAAAUAAAAAAAAAAAAGAAAUCAUUUUAAACGUCAUGUUCAUGCCACGUUAGCAUUUUCCGUUAAAAAGGCUAACGGUGCUAACUUUAGGAUUUGAUUAAAACAAUUUGGCAAGUUUUAGGACUUGAUUGCACUUUUUACAAGUUUUAGGACUCAAUUGCAUUUUCGUGACAAGUUUUAAGACUUCUAUUACAUUUAUCCCUAAAAAAAUAAAAUAGUAAUCCUUCUCUCAAUACCCAUCUGCAGACACAGUUUGCAUUCUAAAGUUCGUAAAUAAUUUUGCUAUACAUUAUAUGGGUUCUCUCACAAGUCUCCAUACCUAAUCAUCUUUUUAUAGAUAUCAAAUUUCGAAUUCCUUCAACUCUAUGUAAGGAUAAGUGCAAUGAAAGUCUUGAAAGUUGUUACUAAAGUGUAAUUAAUUAUAAAUCUAUUCAAAAGCACAAUCAAUUACUAUAACUUAUCCAAUAGGUGCAAUUGAGUCUUUUUUUUUUUUUUUAACUAUGUUCAACUUCAUUAACGAAAAACACCAACGCGAGCGACAUCAUCACAAGUGAGCUCCGGCACUUGAGGCAAUGCAUCUCCGGGACCCUUCCCAUUGUGAGCUAGAACUCGAACCAGCAGCACGAGUGUGUCAUGUUGCGGAUCUUGUCGUCCUGCUCCUUGAAUGCCAGGUCGUACCCCUUGGUCGGCAUUUGCUCCUUUCACAGGUCAUAUAUACUCCAGCAGCGUUAGUAGGACCGUGAUCCCAUGCCCGUUAACCGUCAUGCUCGACCCCUUGCUCAGUAGCCGCCGAAACCCCAGCCUUGUCGAAGCUGAACAGCCUCUUGAUCUGCUGCGCCACAGGGUCGUACUUGUCCACCUUCCUAAGUUGGAUUUCGACAAGAGCAUCGACUCGAGCCAGGUCCUAAAGAACUACACCAUGGUCAGGUCCUGCCAGGCGUAGCUCAGCUUCUCAACAUUGAUGGUCUCAAUCACGCAACCGUACCUGCUCUGGCUUGCUACUUUUGCCCAAGUAGACCAUGUCCAGGGGGAUCCUCGUGGCCUGCGCGACCUGGCGCAUCGCCAUGGUGAACUUGCGGAUCCACUCGAUUUUGUUGCCGUUGUACAGGAAUACGUACUUGCCAUCUCUAAUCCUAUGAGAGACAAAUUUGAAGAUCUCAAUGUCACAAACCUUUGAAUCAAUACCAUAAAAAAGUUGGCUUGACAUGAUCGUCAGUUACCCAAUUCAUAAUUGUUUGAUUAAUGCCAUUAGAAAGAAGCUCAGGCCUCCAUGUCUCUUCCUCCUUUAGGGCCUUCUCUCCCAAUGUAGUGAAAGGGAAGGCAUUGCUUCCCUAAAUCCACGUCAUAACAGAGCAAAUAAGAGAAUUAUCGAAUCUUCUCCCAUUUUCUGAGUGGGUUCUCUAUAGAGAUCGUGAGAUAAUAUUUUGGGUUUGUUUUGAGUGUAAUCUAGGGAAUUUGGUGAUUGUGAACUUUGUAUUCUCUGGAUUUGUAAUGGAAUACUUCAACUAGCUCUCCCAAUUGAAUCGGUACCAACACCUGGAUUGAACCACAUUAAUUUCUAGUGUUCUUUAAUGUUCCUCAUCAAUUUCGCUAGUAAUUUUCUCCUUCUUGCGUUAAGCAUAAAUUGCAAGAUCCAUUAGCUUUGCAUUAAUUUUGACAAUGAUUGGUGUUGGGACAAAGGUUAGGGUUUCCGGAGCAAAUUUGGGGCUUUGCUAGUCUCGUCAUUGUAUGGAAAUUAUGUUAUUGCAAUUAUGUCCAAAGUGAAAGUAGAAAUUGGGGAGUUCAACGGAAGGAACAUCUCUGGGUCGUGGAGCUUGCUUUUAACAACCUAACAUCUAGUGAAGGUUUUGGAUGGAAAUAAUAAAUCAUCGGAAAUGAUGAAAGAGGUUGAUAAGGUAGAGUUGAUGGAGAAGGCUAAAAGCAUAAUCCUAUUGAAUCUAUCAAACGAGGUAUAAUUAAAGUGGCCGAAGAGAAUGAUCCAACAUUAUAGGCAAGACAUUAGCACUUUAUUUGAUGAAGGGAUUGAACAAUUGCUUAUCUAUGUUGAAAAUACUAUUUCGGUUCCGGGUGGUUGUUGAACGAGUCUAUGUUUCUGGUUUGUUUUUUAUGUGUUAAUAGUCUAUUAAGCACUUUUAUUAUGUGGAUUGGUUGCUGUACAUGUGAAGUUAGUGAGGUGUGGUGGUUAUUUGUUUUUGUAAAGCCUAUAUAAAGGCUAUGGUGUCAGUUUUUUUUUUUAGUGUGUGUGGUUAUGCAGACGUUCCUCCGUUUUUGUGCAUAUCAGAAAAUUUUCUUUGUUUUCCUCUGUUUUUAACGCUGUUCUUGUGCACAUCUGCAUAUCUGCAUCUCCUCUGGUUUUUAACAUUGGUAUCAGAGCGAAGGUUAGGAAGAAAAGUGUGUGUUUGAGUGCUGUAAAAAGGUGAGAACCAAAAGAGAGUUUUUAUUGCAGCAAGUACUUUCGUUUGCAGCAGUCAAGGGAGAGUAUUGCAGCAGGUUAUUUUCGUUUGUAGCAGCAGCGGGUUGCUUUUGUGGUGGUUCUAUUUUGCAACAACAGUAAUGGCCUCAGAAACAUUUGUACAACCUGCUAUUCCACACUUUGAUGGUCAUUAUGAUCAUUGGAGCAUGCUAAUGGAGAAUUUUCUUAAGUCCAAGGAGUAUUGGGAUGUUGUUUCUUCGGGAGUUGCCGAACCUGAUGAAGGAGUUGUGUUAAUGGUAGCGCAAAGAACGGCUUUGGAUGCUUUAAAAUUGAAGGAUCUCAAGGCCAAAAAUUAUCUUUUCCAAGCAAUUGACAUAUCCAUUUUGGAGACAAUUCUUUGCAAGGAUACCUCCAAGGAAAUAUGGGAUUCCAUAAAGAAAAAGUAUCAAGGCUCAGCAAGAGCAAAGAGGCAGCAGCUUCAAACGCUUCGUUCGGAGUUUGAAAUGCUACGAAUGAAGUCGGGAGAGACAAUCACAGAUUUCUUCUCUCGGACAAUAGCAAUAGUUAAUAAGAUGCGGAUUCAUGGCGACAAGACGGAGGAUGUCAUCAUCGUUGAAAAGAUUCUUCGAUCGUUGACACCAAAAUUCAACUUUAUUGUUUGUUCCAUAGAAGAAGCCAAGGACAUUGAAGAACUUUCCAUUGAUGAGUUGCGAGGAUCCUUGUUAGUUCAUGAACAAAAACUCCUACAGCAAGAGACGGAAGAGCAAGCUUUGAAGGUCUCAACUGGAGAUCAUUCUUCAUCAGCAGCAAGGGUGAACAAAGGAAGAGGUAGAGGAAGGGAGAACAACGAUCGCAGUGGCUUCAGCUUUGAUCAAAAGUCUGAAAGCUAUUCCUAUCGUGAUUUCCAAGGGAGAGGAAGAGGUCGUGAAGGACGACAUUCAACUGGUUUUAGGCCAAGGUCAGCAGACAAAUCCAAAGUGGAGUGUUUUAGAUGCCACAGGUAUGGGCAUUACAAAUCUAAAUGUCGAACUAAUUUGAAUAAACAAAGAGUUGAAAGAACUAACUUUGCUGAAAAAGAAGAAGAAGUAUCUCUUUUGAUGGUGUGCCAUGAGAAGGAAGAAACUCAACCAAAUAUGUGGUAUCUCGACACUGGUUGUAGCAAUCACAUGUGUGGAGACAAGAAAAUGUUUUUUGAUCUAGACAAAACGUACAACAGCACCGUAAAGUUUGGUGAUAAUUCCAUUGUGUCAGAAAGGAACAGUGGCAAUUCAUCCAAAAGGGACUUCAGUACAAACUAUCUCAAAUGUAUUGUAUGUCCUUGAAUUGAAGACUAAUCUGUUAAGUGCUGGUCAGCUGCAAGAGAAGGGAUAUGAAAUCUCUAUUAAAGGUGGGAUUUGUAGAAUCUAAGAUGAGAAGUUGGGUUUAAUUACUGAAGUCAAAAUGACAGGCAAUCGGAUGUUUCCAUUGUAUCUCCACAACACUACAAAUUCAUGUUUCUCUGCAAGAUUGAAGGAGGAAGCCUGGUUAUGGCAUUUUCGCUAUGGGCAUCUUAAUUUCGGUGGGUUGCGAACACUAUAUAAAAAAGAGAUGGUGGAGGGUCUUCUUCAAAUCUCUGCUCCUUUGGAAAUUUGUGAAGAUUGUGUUGUUAGCAAGUAACAUCGUGCUCAAUUUCCACAAAGAAAAUCGUGGAGAGCAAAAAGUCCGUUGGCGUUGGUUCAUUCAGAUAUUUGCGGACCAAUAUCUCCAAUUUCCAAUGGAGGUAAACGGUAUAUCAUUACCUUCAUCGAUGAUUUUAGCCGGAAGAUUUGGGUGCAUUUUUUGCAAGAAAAAUCUGAAGCUUUUGCGGCUUUCAAGAACUUCAAAGCACUUGUUGAAAAGGAUGGAGGAAAUCAAAUAAAGGUCCUUCGCGCGGAUCGUGGUGGAGAGUACAACUCGCUUGAGUUUACAGAUUUUUGUAUGAAGCAUGGGAUCAAGAGACAACUUACAGCAGCCUAUACACCACAGCAAAAUGGCGUAUGUGAGAGGAAGAAUCGUACUAUUUUGAAUAUGGUGCGAAGUCUUUUGAGGGGAAGUAGAAUUUCAAAAAGUUUCUGGCUUGAAGCAGUCAAUUGGAGCAUUCACAUUUUAAAUAGAAGUCCCACUCUAGCUGUUCAAAAUAUGACAUCGGAAGAAGCAUGGAGCAGCCAAAGACCUGCAGUAGAUCACUUCAGGAUUUUUGGGUGUAUUGCCUACGCCCAUGUUCCUGACCAAAAGAGGAAGAAGCUAGAUGAAAGGGGAGUCAAAUGUAUUUUUCUUGGCAUUAGUGAUCAAUCAAAAGCCUAUAAACUUUAUAAUCCUAUGACCAAGAAAAUCAUUAUCAGCCGUGAUAUGAUAUUUGAUGAAGAACAAACUUGGCCGUGGGGUGAACAAGGUGUUGGUAAGCAAAUUCCAACGAAUUUUGAAGAUGAAAAUGGGCUGGUGCAGCAAUCCACAACAACCCAAAUCGCCACAGGCAGUGUCCAAAGUACAGCAGCAGCUGCGGAACCUAAAGAUCGGCCUCAUCGUGUUCGACGGAGGCCUGCAUGGAUGAGUGAUUAUGAAGUAACAGGAGUUGAUCAAUAUGAAGAUCCACUUAUCCAUUUUGCUUUGUUUUCAGAUUGUGAUCCAACAACUUUUGAUGAAGCAGUACAAAAAGAAAAUUGGAGGAUAGCAAUGGAUGAAGAAAUUGCAACUAUUGAGAGGAAUGACACUUGGGAGUUAACAGAUCUUCCAAAAUGACACAAAACAAUCGGAGUCAAGUGGGUGUACAAGACAAAAUUGAACAAGAAUGGUGAAGUUGAUAAGUAUAAGGCGUGCUUGGUGGCGAAAGGCUAUAAGCAGGAAUUUGGAGUGGAUUACAAAGAAGUAUUUGCACUUGUAGCAAGACUUGACACAAUCGGAUUGGUAAUUUCAUUAGCAGCGCAGAAUUCAUGGCCUAUCUUCCAAUUGGAUGUGAAGUCAGCAUCCUUGCAUGGUGAUCUUCAAGAAAAGGUAUUUGUUGAUCAACCUUCUGGUUAUGUGAAGCUCGGUAGUGAACAUAAAGUUUAUAAAUUAAAAAAGGCAUUAUAUGGGUUAAAACAAGCUCCCCGAGCUUGGUAUAGUCGCAUUGAUGCCUAUUUCUUGAAAAAAGGUUUUAGAAAAUGUCCAUAUGAGCAUACACUCUUUAUUAAAAUUGGUGAUGAUGGAAAGUUGCUUCUUGUAUGCUUAUAUGUGGAUGAUCUUAUUUUUACUGGGAGUGAUAGUGCCAUGUUUGACAAAUUCAAGGAGUUUAUGAUGGAUGAAUUUGAGAUGACUGAUCUUGGAUUGAUGCAUUAUUUUCUGGGCAUAGAAGUUAUUCAAUCUGCAGCUAGAAUCUUUAUGUCUCAAAAGAAGUAUGUUCAAGAGAUUUUGGACAGGUUUCAAAUGAAUAAUUGUAACCCCGUGACUACUCCAACUGAAGUUGGAUUGAAGCUCUUGAAAGAUCCUCAUGGAAGCAAGGUGGAUAGCACUCUCUACAAGCAGAUUGUUGGAAGCCUGAUGUAUUUGACGGGGACAAGACCAGAUAUCAUGCAUGCUGUGAGCCUUAUAAGCAGGUAUAUGGAGCACCCAACUGAGUUACAUUUACAAUCUGCAAAAACGAUUUUUCGCUAUUUGCAAGGAACUAAAAAUUUUGGGCUGUUCUAUAAAAAGGGAGAAAAGUCAGAUUUGUUUGGGUUUACAGAUAGCGAUUAUGCUGGAGAUGUUGAUGAUAGAAGAAGUACUUCAGGGUAUGUAUUCAUGCUUGGUUCAGGGGCAGUUUCAUGGUCUUCAAAGAAGCAAUCAAUUGUUACUUUAUCAACAACUGAAGCAGAAUUUGUUGCUGCAACUUCAUGCGUUUGUCAAGCCAUAUGGUUAUGGAAGAUUCUUGAAGAGCUUCAGUUCAAACAGCAAAAAGCAACUAUAAUCUAUUGUGGCAACAGCUCAGCUAUCAAGCUGUCCAAAAAUCCAGUUCUACAUGGGAGGAGCAAGCAUAUAGAUGUGAAGUACCACUUCUUAAGAGAUCUUACAAAGGAUGAAGUAGUUGAGCUAGUUUUCUGUAGAAGUGAAGAUCAAGUGGCUGAUAUAUUCACCAAGCCCCUAAAGUUGUCCAUGUUUUAGAAGCUGAGAAAGCUCCUUGGUGUUCGUUUGUUGGAUAUUCCAAAUUGAGAGAGGCUCCUUUAAACUAAUUGUUUGCAACAUCAGUUUAAGGGAGGGAAUGUUGAACGAGUCUAUGUUUCUGGUUUGUUUUUUAUGUGUUAAUAGUCUAUUAAGCACUUUUAUUAUGUGGAUUGGUUGCUGUACAUGUGAAGUUAGUGGGGUGUGGUGGUUAUUUGUUUUUGUAAAGCCUAUAUAAAGGCUAUGGUGUCAGUUUUUUUUAGUGUGUGUGGUUAUACAGACGUUCCUCUGUUUUUGUGCAUAUUAGAAAAUUUCCUCUAUUUUCCUCUGUUUUUAACGCUGUUCUUGUGCACAUCUGCAUAUCUGCAUCUCCUCUAGUUUUUAACAGGUUGAAGGUGCAUCUCAUAAAACCCAUUUAGAUAAGUUUAACAAACUCAUGAGAGAUUUAAAAAAUGUCAAUAAGGCUUUGUUUGACGAAAAUCAAAGUACGAUGUUAUUGACAUCUUUACUAGAUUAUUUUGAGCACUUUACCCAUUCAUUGCUAUAGUGGUGCAUUACGAUUACCUUGGGAAAAGUAAAGUCUGCCUUGUUUUAUAAGGCGUAAAAAAGAAAUUACGAAAAAAUAAUUUAGGGUAGGAUAUAGUGCGAGGUUUGAUUUUCUAAGGUAGAGACAAACAAAGAGAAUCUGGAGAGAGCAAAUGGAAGAGCUGUUCUAUAUCCCGAUCUAACGUUCGGCACCAUUGAUUGUUGGGAUAAGUGUUCCAGAAGUCCUAUAACUUGUCACGAAAAUACAUUUCAAUCCUAAAACUUGCCAAAAGUGCAUUUAAGUCCUAAAACUUGUCAAAUUGUUUCAAGCGAGUCCUAAGAUCGACGCCGUUAGCAUUUUCCGUUAAAAAUGCUGACGUGGCAUUUUAAAUAAUUUUUUAUUUUACAGGUGUAUUUUUUAAUUAAUUUUUAUCCUUUUAAAAAAAAUAGAUUUAAAAACUAAAAAAAUUAAAUUUAUUCUUAUCUUAUUUUCAACAAAAACUAAAAAGAAAAGUUAAAAAAUUUAAUUUUAAAAUUGUUAAAAAAAAAAUCACCGCAGCUCUUCUCCCCCGACGCUGUCGCUGCCCAUCGCCACAGGGGCCGGGCUACGGGCCCGGGCGACGGUCACCGGAACCGGGCGACGGUCGCCCCCCCUGGGUGAGUCGUCGCUGGCCCUCCCGGGGGGGCCGGCGAGGCUCGCCCAGAUCUGGCGAUCCUCGCCGACCCCGAGCGAGGGCCGACGAGGCCUCGCCCAGGGCGGGCAACGGUCGCCGGCCCUCGCCUAGCGCCGGCGAGGCCCGGCCACCCCCGCCCAGAGCCGGCGACCGUCGCCUGGCCCCUCCGGCGAUGGGCGGCGGCGGCGGCGGGGGAGGAGCUGCUGUUUUUUUUUUUUUUUUUAUAAUAAAUAUUUUAACUUUUUUAAAGUUUUUGGUAAAAAUAAGAUAAAAUGAAUAAAUUUGAUUUUUUUAGUUUUUAAAUCUAAUUUUUCUAAAAAAUUCACGUGGAAAAUAAAAAAAUUUAUUUAAAAUGCCACGUCAGCGUAUUUAACGGAAAAGGCUAACGCGUCGAUCUUAAGACUCGUUUGAAACAAUUUUACAAGUUUUAGGACUUAAAUGCUCUUUUUGCAAGUUUUAGGACUGAAAUGCAUUUUCGUGACAAGUUGUAAGACUUCUGGAACACUUAUUCCUUAAUUGUAUUAUUUUACUACAGCUAAUAAUAGAUCUAAUGAUGAUGUUAUGUUAACGGUCACCAUGAGUUUGUUAGGUGAUGAGUGAGUGCUUGACUUUGGAGGCUCAUAUCAUGUGACUUAUUAUAAGCAUUGAUUUACUACAUGUCUGUACACAAAGGGUAGUAAUUUGAUUAUAUUAGGAACGCGCAAUAGAAGUAUGAUACUUUCACAUGAAGAGAUCGUUAAGGGAGAACCCAAAUAUAAGCUCGUCUACACAUCCAGUUGAACUCAUCUAUGCUAAAAAACUUACAAUAAGUUAUAAGUUGAUUAAGAUAUAUUAACUGUUAUAUACCACAACAAUUAUUUGAUGUGGCAUAUCAACAAUUUCCCCUUCACAUAUGCACUCAAUGUUAGAUCUACUCUCCAUUAAUCCAAGUAUUAUUCCACAUGAAAAUAUCUCAACUUAAAUCUCCAUCAACGCCCAACUUAAUCCCUAGUCUCUUUCUCUAGACCGAAUCGUGAAGUCUAUCAUCGGGCUCACAUUGUUACACUAUAAAGCCCACCGCUCAAAAGCGCGCAACAAAAGUAUGAUACCUUCACUUGGGGGGAUUAAAUUGUCAAGGGAGAGCCUAAAUCCAAGCCCAUUAACAAAUCUAAUUAGACCUACAUUCUCUCAAAAAUGAAGGUGGAAGAAGAUUUUCAGUUGAGGGUUUGAUUUCUAGAGCAAAGUGAACUUGAUUUCUCGAUUUCAAGCAAAUUUGUGUUGCCAGACAACGUCGUCUCAUCUAUAAAUUGAGUGUUGACAUCUCUAGCGAGACAAGUCGGAUUAUUUAUAUUAGAAUAAUGUCAUAUGUGAUUUUGCGACAACACAAGUGAUCUGUAUUGCUUGAGUAUUUGAUUUUUAGAAGUUAUGAUAAUCAAAUGAUCUUUUAAGGAGCAGUAACGUCAAAGUGAGCGUCAUAUAUGAAAGCCGUAGUAGUAUUAGUAAACUUUCUAAAUCUAGAGGAUGAUCCCUAGAAUGGGACUUUCGACGACAGCUCGUGGACGACCUGGGUAAUUAUAGAAUGGAAGUUGACAGCGGAGUAGUGGCGACCAUUGCAGAGAGUGUAUCUUCUAAGGAUUCUGUGGAAAGAUGAAGAAAAAGAAGCCAUUGAAGACCAAAAACAAAAUAGAGGAGAAGAGAAGAGGGAAUGGAGAAUCUUGAGAGGACAAAGAACUCAUUAGAGGUUUCUCUGCUUCUUAUUUAAUAUCAAGCAUCAGAUGUUGAUCAUUGGACAUCAUCCUUCACACUCCAAACGCAAAUCAAACAAAGGAAAUUCAAGCGCACACAUGGCUUCUUUAUUAUGUCCCACAAGACAUUCGUAUAUGCCUCCUCCGUAUGAAGGCUUUGGAUUGAUUGAUCACUCAGAUGGUGGGAACAACCUCAUCAUGGCAGCAGACGAAGGUGGUGAGCUUCUCCAUGCGUCUCUGGCAGUCGGGGCACCGCAUGCCCUCCGGGAUCCUUCCCCCCAUGCUCUGGAACUCGAACCGGCAGCAUGGAUGCGUCACGUCGUGGAUCUUGUCGUGGUGCUCCUUGAACGCCACGUCGUACCCCUUGGUAGCCACAUGCUCCUUCCACAGGUCGUACUCCAGCAGCGCCGGCAGGACCGUGGUCCCGUGCCCGUUCACCGUGAUGGCUGACCCCCGGCUCAGCACUGCCCACCCCCCCGCCUUGUCGAAGCUGAGUAGCCUCUUGAUCUGCUGCAUCAUGUGGUCCUCCUCGUC
Molecule: long non-coding RNA, 15010 nt
Filed under: Eucalyptus grandis
Lineage: Eukaryota; Viridiplantae; Streptophyta; Magnoliopsida; Myrtales; Myrtaceae
Description: long non-coding RNA (EGRA_LNC005655)
Source: RNAcentral